UUGUGUGGACCUUCUUCAACUGCUUCCCAUAUACCUUCUCCUUGGGCCUUAAGAUGUGCCUUCAUUCUGAUUUUCCAGAAAUCGAAAUAUUCUCCGGAGAAGAGUGGGGGCUUGUUGCUACUUCUAUCAUCUUUAAAAACCGGGUUUAUGCUUGCGGAAGCCAUGCUGGAUCUCUAGGAACAAGUUACCUAUAACUUGCUCUGAUGCCAAUUGU
This 214-nucleotide long non-coding RNA is filed under the name Lathyrus oleraceus (garden pea). Its description in RNAcentral is "Pisum sativum (pea) long non-coding RNA (PSAT_LNC032543)". The record is from RNAcentral. Lineage: Eukaryota; Viridiplantae; Streptophyta; Magnoliopsida; Fabales; Fabaceae.